RNAcentral lists this ribosomal RNA (494 nucleotides) under Megalobrachium sinuimanus. RNAcentral's name for it is "SSU rRNA". It matches the Rfam family "Eukaryotic small subunit ribosomal RNA", at positions 848 to 1336 of the family's 1831-position model. Lineage: Eukaryota; Metazoa; Arthropoda; Malacostraca; Decapoda; Porcellanidae. The record is from RNAcentral.
UUGUUGGUUUGGUUUCGCGACCAAGGUAAUGACUAAGGGAGACUGUCGGGGGCAUUUGUACUGCAGCGCUAGAGGUGAAAUUCUUGGACCGUUGCAAGACAAACGACAGCGAAAGCAUUUGCCAAGGAUGUUUUCGUUAAUCAAGAACGAAAGUUAGAGGUUCGAAGGCGAUCAGAUACCGCCCUAGUUCUAACCAUAAACGAUGCCAACYAGUAAUCCACCGAGCGUUAUGAUUCCAAUGACCAGGUGGGCGGCUUCCCGGGAAACCAAAGUCUUUGGGUUCCGGGGGAAGUAUGGUUGCAAAGCUGAAACUUAAAGGAAUUGACGGAAGGGCACCACCAGGAGUGGAGCCUGCGGCUUAAUUUGACUCAACACGGGGAACCUCACCAGGCCCAGACACUGGAAGGAUUGACAGAUUGAGAGCUCUUUCUCGAUUCAGUGGGUGGUGGUGCAUGGCCGUUCUUAGUUGGUGGAGUGAUUUGUCUGGUUAAUUC